UUUUUCACGUAUACGAGUAGCCUCCCUUGAAGCUAGGUGCUCGUUGCCAGGCAAUAUUAUAGGUGGCGCCACUGUCAACGUGUGGAUGUGAAAACGAAAGUAGAUUAUUUAUCGUGGAAUAAUUACAAUUGUUUACCCUUCUACGUGGAAUUUAUAUGGUAAUGGUAUGAAUUGAGAUGAUUUAUUUAGUUACCUUCAACUGGUCAGUGGUCAACAAGAGAGUAUUACUGUGUGUCUUGAAACAUUGAAUGCACCAAAACAAACAGUAUAAUAAGAAGGCCAGAAUAUACAGCUUCCCAAAAUGUUGAAAGACUAAGCUGUUUUUUCUAAGGACUUGUAUACUAUUUAGACUGAAAUUAGCCAUGGACAAUGAAUUUGGAGGUGCAUGCUGGAGCAUCAGAAAUUACAGACUUGGAAUAGAUAUUUGCAUAAUAUACAAGUAACAUUUACUGAAAAAUGACUAAUGUUUAUGUUAAUAAAGUGCAAUAUCCAUGCUUGUAACAUUUACAUGGGGGUAAUAGUUACAGUGUUGAAAGAGACUGCCAGUGUUACAUUUCAAUCUAAGUUACAUCAAAAGUAGUAGGAGCUUCAAAAAAGGCCUCUGCUUAAAAUACACUUCAGAUGUAUUUAAAAGCUACUUCCAAUCACAUAGACCUGCUUCGCAUUCAGUCCGGAGACUUCAAUUGUACUUGUCUCAUACUUCCCCUGAAGUCUCCGGGGCCUUAAUUGUGCUCCACUUUUGAGCAUGAGACUUCAAGUAAGUACUAGGGGACUUCAAUGAUACUUUAGAAUCUUUAACAAACAAAAAUUGAGGAUUCAAGUGGAACUUCAAAUAUACUUUCUUAACUUUGAAAAAUACCUGCAUCUAAGGAACUUAAAAUGUACUUCUGUGACUUUCUAUUUUUAAAGUGACUCCCUCAUUUUAUGUGCAGUAGUGGGUUUUUAUACUAUGAAAGUGCUAAACUUUGUAUAUUUGUA
Long non-coding RNA from Mercenaria mercenaria, 978 nucleotides. RefSeq lists it as uncharacterized. The record is from RefSeq and is a predicted model, not a curated record. The transcript is spliced from 5 exons. Lineage: Eukaryota; Metazoa; Mollusca; Bivalvia; Venerida; Veneridae.